Molecule: long non-coding RNA, 323 nt
Organism: Phyllostomus discolor (pale spear-nosed bat)
Lineage: Eukaryota; Metazoa; Chordata; Mammalia; Chiroptera; Phyllostomidae
Exons: 2
Source: RefSeq, a predicted model, not a curated record
GACCGAAAGUUCACUGGUUCAAUUCCCUGUCAGGGCAUAUGCCUAGAUGUGAGCCAGAUCUCUGCUUGGGCUGAAAACAUCUUGAUACCACUGGUCUCCCCAAACCCAAAGGACAGUGUUUCAUGAAAGACACAGGGAAGUCAAGAAGGAUGACAGAAAAGUACUCACAGGUAAGAAUGAUUUUGGUUUCAGUAGUUACAGUAUAUAUGGCAAUCACUCAAAAAACAAAACAAAACUAUGUGCAAGUAUUAUUCUAAAUUCUUAACACAUAUAACCUUAUGUAAUCUCUCACAAUAUUAGGAGGUAGAGGAGAUUGUUGGCAA